GUGGGGAAUCUUCCGCAAUGGACGAAAGUCUGACGGAGCAACGCCGCGUGAGUGAUGAAGGUCUUCGGAUUGUAAAGCUCUGUUAAUCGGGACGAAAGAGCCUAGUGUGAAUAAUGCUAGGAAGUGACGGUACCGGAAUAGAAAGCCACGGCUAACUACGUGCCAGCAGCCGCGGUAAUACGUAGGUGGCAAGCGUUGUCCGGAAUUAUUGGGCGUAAAGCGCGCGCAGGCGGAUCUGCCAGUCUGUCUUAAAAGUUCGGGGCUUAACCCCGUGAUGGGAUGAAAACUACAGAUCUAGAGUAUCGGAGAGGAAAGUGGAAUUCCUAGUGUAGCGGUGAAAUGCGUAGAUAUUAGGAAGAACACCAGUGGCGAAGGCGACUUUCUGGACGAAAACUGACGCUGAGGCGCGAAAGCCAGGGGAGCGAACGGGAUUAGAUACCCCAGUAGUCC
RNAcentral lists this ribosomal RNA (450 nucleotides) under uncultured bacterium. RNAcentral describes it as "partial 16S ribosomal RNA". It matches the Rfam family "Bacterial small subunit ribosomal RNA", at positions 354 to 796 of the family's 1533-position model. The record is from RNAcentral.